UACGUAGGGUGCGAGCGUUAAUCGGAAUUACUGGGCGUAAGGUGUGCGCAGGCGGCCGCGCAAGUCGAGUGUGAAAGCCCCGAGCUUAACUUGGGAAUUGCGCUCGAAACUACGUGGCUGGAGUGUGGCAGAGGAAGGUGGAAUUCCAGGUGGAGCGGUGAAAUGCGUUGAUAUCAUCAGGAACACCGGUGGCGAAGGCGGCUUUCUGGGUCUUACCUGACGCUGAGGAACGAAAGCCAGGGGAGCGAACGGG
Molecule: ribosomal RNA, 253 nt
Filed under: uncultured bacterium
Lineage: Bacteria
Description: partial 16S ribosomal RNA
Rfam family: Bacterial small subunit ribosomal RNA
Source: RNAcentral